This 72-nucleotide transfer RNA is filed under the name Thermoplasmatales archaeon ex4484_30. Its description in RNAcentral is "tRNA-Thr". It matches the Rfam family "tRNA". From Rfam's summary of the family: Transfer RNA (tRNA) molecules are approximately 80 nucleotides in length. Their secondary structure includes four short double-helical elements and three loops (D, anti-codon, and T loops). The record is from RNAcentral. Lineage: Archaea; Methanobacteriati; Thermoplasmatota; Thermoplasmata; Thermoplasmatales.
GCCGCCUUGGCUUAGGGGUAUAGCGCUUCCUUGGUAAGGAAGAGGUCCCGGGUUCGAACCCCGGAGGCGGCU